RNAcentral lists this ribosomal RNA (454 nucleotides) under Coleopius sp. 1 XYL-2012. Its description in RNAcentral is "eukaryotic LSU rRNA". Lineage: Eukaryota; Metazoa; Arthropoda; Insecta; Hymenoptera; Braconidae. The record is from RNAcentral.
AAACCGUUCAGGGGUAAACCUGAGAAACCCAAAAGAUCGAAUGGGGAGAUUCAUCGUCAGCUCAUUUUGUAUAUAUAUAAGUUAUGAUAUGGGUUACUACUUGUAGUAUUGCUUGUACAUUCUUGUAUAUUUAAUUGCAGAAUGUUGUCGGCGUGCACUUCUCCCCUAGUAGGACGUCGCGACCCGUUGAGUGUCGGUCUACGGCCCAAGUGGUAGUCUUUAAUUUAUUUGAAUUGAAGGCCCUUGGUGUUUCCUGGCUGACUACUCGGCGGUAUUCGUAUGGUAUUAAGCCGCAUUUUAUGCGUUUAUAUCCGUCGCAAGCGCGGUCAAUUUUUAGUAGUAUGGACCUAGUGCCGUCGCUAUAAUUGAUCAGCUGUUGGUUGUACGGUAUUCUAAAACUGGCUUGAAAAUAAAAUACCGGUCAGCGAUGCUACUGCUUUGGGUACUUUCAGGA